UUCCCUUCUGAACAUCUGCUUACUAUAGGAAAAGUCACCCACCUCAUUGCAAAGCCGAGGAGAGCGGUGAAGUGCCCAUGGGCAGGACACCUGUCUCUAAGCACAUUUCAGAAACAGACUUUAUUCAUCGUCUGGGGGAUGCUACAUGACUUUUUGAUACAAGGAUUUAUGAACACAAUACUGUUGGAUGCCAUGGGAGUUGCAGCAGAUGAGGCAGGUGACAACUAAAGUUCAGAUGUCAACCCACCAGAGGACUGAUUCUCUGAUGGAGAAGAAUCCCAUCCAGGGCAAGCCCAUCACCAUGCAAUGCCAGAUUUAACUUCCAG
Molecule: long non-coding RNA, 326 nt
Organism: Alexandromys fortis (reed vole)
Lineage: Eukaryota; Metazoa; Chordata; Mammalia; Rodentia; Cricetidae
Exons: 3
Source: RefSeq, a predicted model, not a curated record